This 510-nucleotide ribosomal RNA is filed under the name uncultured bacterium. Its description in RNAcentral is "bacterial SSU rRNA". It matches the Rfam family "Bacterial small subunit ribosomal RNA", at positions 975 to 1482 of the family's 1533-position model. The record is from RNAcentral.
CUGGGCUCGAACGGGUAGUCAACGCCGGUGGAAGCACUGGUACCCCGCAAGGGGGUCUAUUCGAGGUGCUGCAUGGCUGUCGUCAGCUCGUGUCGUGAGAUGUUGGGUUAAGUCCCGCAACGAGCGCAACCCUUGUCCUGUGUUGCCAUCAUUCAGUUGGGAACUCGCAGGAGACCGCCAGCGAUAAGCUGGAGGAAGGUGGGGAUGACGUCAAGUCCUCAUGGCCUUUAUGUCCAGGGCUACACACGUGCUACAAUGGACGGUACAAAGCGCAGCGAACCCGCGAGGGGGAGCCAAUCGCAAAAAACCGUUCUCAGUUCGGAUUGCAGGCUGCAACUCGCCUGCAUGAAGCUGGAAUCGCUAGUAAUGGCAGAUCAGCACGCUGCCGUGAAUACGUUCCCGGGCCUUGUACACACCGCCCGUCACAUCACGAAAGUGGAUUGUACUAGAAGUCUGCAGGCUGACCCGCAAGGGAGGCAGCGGCCCAAGGUAUGAUCCAUGAUUGGGGUG